AGCAGCGUGGCUCAGUGGAAAGAGCACGGGCUUGGGAGCCAGAGGUCAUGGGUUCGAAUCCUGGCUCUGCCA
RNAcentral lists this transfer RNA (72 nucleotides) under Ornithorhynchus anatinus (platypus). It matches the Rfam family "tRNA". Rfam says of the family: Transfer RNA (tRNA) molecules are approximately 80 nucleotides in length. Lineage: Eukaryota; Metazoa; Chordata; Mammalia; Monotremata; Ornithorhynchidae. The record is from Rfam by way of RNAcentral.